RNAcentral lists this ribosomal RNA (845 nucleotides) under Providencia stuartii. RNAcentral describes it as "Bacterial large subunit ribosomal RNA". It matches the Rfam family "Bacterial large subunit ribosomal RNA", at positions 1325 to 2153 of the family's 2925-position model. The record is from Rfam by way of RNAcentral. Lineage: Bacteria; Pseudomonadati; Pseudomonadota; Gammaproteobacteria; Enterobacterales; Morganellaceae.
AAAACCCGCACGCCGGAAGACCAAGGGUUCCUGUCCAACGUUAAUCGGGGCAGGGUGAGUCGACCCCUAAGGCGAGGCAGAAAUGCGUAGUCGAUGGGAAACAGGUUAAUAUUCCUGUACUGGUGAUAAUUGCGAUGGGGGGACGGAGAAGGCUAGGCUAUCCGGGCGACGGUUGUCCCGGUUUAAGGAUGUAGGCAGGUGAAUUAGGCAAAUCCGGUUCACUAUAUGCUGAGGUCUGAUGACGAGUCACUACGGUGAUGAAGUAGCUCAUGCCCCGCUUCCAGGAAAAGCCUCUAAGCUCUAGAUUAUCAUUAAUCGUACCCCAAACCGACACAGGUGGUCAGGUAGAGAAUACUCAGGCGCUUGAGAGAACUCGGGUGAAGGAACUAGGCAAAAUGGUGCCGUAACUUCGGGAGAAGGCACGCUGGCGCUAGGUGAAGUGGUUUACCCAUGGAGCUGAAGCCAGUCGCAGAUACCAGCUGGCUGCAACUGUUUAUUAAAAACACAGCACUGUGCAAACACGAAAGUGGACGUAUACGGUGUGACGCCUGCCCGGUGCUGGAAGGUUAAUUGAUGGGGUUAUCCGUAAGGAGAAGCUCUUGAUCGAAGCCCCAGUAAACGGCGGCCGUAACUAUAACGGUCCUAAGGUAGCGAAAUUCCUUGUCGGGUAAGUUCCGACCUGCACGAAUGGCGUAAUGAUGGCCAGGCUGUCUCCACCCGAGACUCAGUGAAAUUGAACUCGCUGUGAAGAUGCAGUGUACCCGCGGCAAGACGGAAAGACCCCGUGAACCUUUACUAUAGCUUGACACUGAACAUUGAGCCUUGAUGUGUAGGAUAGGUGGGAG